This 72-nucleotide transfer RNA is filed under the name Toxocara canis (dog roundworm). It matches the Rfam family "tRNA". Rfam says of the family: Transfer RNA (tRNA) molecules are approximately 80 nucleotides in length. Lineage: Eukaryota; Metazoa; Nematoda; Chromadorea; Rhabditida; Toxocaridae. The record is from Rfam by way of RNAcentral.
GCGGCAAUAGCUCAGUGGUAGAGCCCCCGCUUCGCGUGCAGGGAGACCCGGGUUCGAUUCCCGGCUGCUUCC